This 509-nucleotide ribosomal RNA is filed under the name uncultured bacterium. RNAcentral describes it as "partial 16S ribosomal RNA". It matches the Rfam family "Bacterial small subunit ribosomal RNA", at positions 28 to 506 of the family's 1533-position model. The record is from RNAcentral.
GACGAACGCUGGCGGCGUGCUUAACACAUGCAAGUCGAACGAAGAGCGAUGGAAGCUUGCUUCUAUCACUCUUAGUGGCGAACGGGUGAGUAACGCGUAAUCAACCUGCCCUUCAGAGGGGGACAACAGUUGGAAACGACUGCUAAUGCCGCAUACGAUCUGACCUCGGCAUCGAGGAUAGAUGAAAGGUGGCCUCUAUUUAUAAGCUAUCACUGAAGGAGGGGAUUGCGUCUGAUUAGCUAGUUGGAGGGGUAACGGCCCACCAAGGCGACGAUCAGUAGCCGGUCUGAGAGGAUGAACGGCCACAUUGGGACUGAGACACGGCCCAGACUCCUACGGGAGGCAGCAGUGGGGAAUCUUCCGCAAUGGACGAAAGUCUGACGGAGCAACGCCGCGUGAGUGAUGACGGCCUUCGGGUUGUAAAGCUCUGUUAAUCGGGACGAAAGGCCUUCUUGCGAAUAGUUAGAAGGAUUGACGGUACCGGAAUAGAAAGCCACGGCUAACUACGU